GCGCGAAAACUUUGCAAUGUGCGAAAGCACGACAAGGUUAAUCCGAGUGGUUCCUGCUAAAGGAAUCUUUUGUCGGUCACAAAACCACCGACGAAUAAGGGGUGGGCAAGUUCUGGUGUCAGCCGCCGCGGUAAAACCAGCACCUCAAGUGGUCAGGAGGAUUAUUGGGCCUAAAGCAUCCGUAGCCGGCUGUGCCAGUCUUCGGUUAAAUCCAUGUGCUCAACGCAUGGGCUGCCGGAGAUACUGCACAGCUAGGGAGUGGGAGAGGUAGACGGUACUUGGUAGGAAGGGGUAAAAUCCUUUAAUCUACUGAUGACCACCUGUGGCGAAGGCGGUCUACUAGAACACGUUCGACGGUGAGGGAUGAAAGCUGGGGGAGCAAACCGGAUUAGAUACCCGGGUAGUCCCAGCUGUAAACAAUGCAAACUCAGUGAUGCACUGGCUUGUGGCCAGUGCAGUGCCGCAGGGAAGCCGUUAAGUUUGCCGCCUGGGAAGUACGUACGCAAGUAUGAAACUUAA
This 519-nucleotide ribosomal RNA is filed under the name uncultured archaeon. RNAcentral describes it as "bacterial SSU rRNA". It matches the Rfam family "Archaeal small subunit ribosomal RNA", at positions 339 to 859 of the family's 1478-position model. The record is from RNAcentral.